This 73-nucleotide transfer RNA is filed under the name bacterium. RNAcentral describes it as "tRNA-Lys". It matches the Rfam family "tRNA". From Rfam's summary of the family: Transfer RNA (tRNA) molecules are approximately 80 nucleotides in length. Their secondary structure includes four short double-helical elements and three loops (D, anti-codon, and T loops). Further hydrogen bonds mediate the characteristic L-shaped molecular structure. tRNAs have two regions of fundamental functional importance: the anti-codon, which is responsible for specific mRNA codon recognition, and the 3' end, to which the tRNAs corresponding amino acid is attached (by aminoacyl-tRNA synthetases). tRNAs cope with the degeneracy of the genetic code in two manners: having more than one tRNA (with a specific anti-codon) for a particular amino acid; and 'wobble' base-pairing, i.e. permitting non-standard base-pairing at the 3rd anti-codon position. RNAcentral also lists the same sequence under 1 other name. The record is from RNAcentral.
GAGAGCGUAGCUCAGUUGGUAGAGCACCGCCCUUUUAAGGCGAUGGUCCCGGGUUCGAGCCCCGGCGCUCUCA